This 24-nucleotide non-coding RNA is filed under the name Cricetulus griseus (Chinese hamster). Lineage: Eukaryota; Metazoa; Chordata; Mammalia; Rodentia; Cricetidae. The record is from RNAcentral.
AAUGUAGACCUAGUCCAAGCAAUC